RNAcentral lists this ribosomal RNA (435 nucleotides) under uncultured bacterium. Its description in RNAcentral is "bacterial SSU rRNA". It matches the Rfam family "Bacterial small subunit ribosomal RNA", at positions 43 to 524 of the family's 1533-position model. The record is from RNAcentral.
CAGGCCUAACACAUGCAAGUCGAACGAAGGCUUCGGCCUUAGUGGCGCACGGGUGCGUAACGCGUGGGAAUCUGCCCUUGGGUUCGGAAUAACGGAGAGAAAUCUCCGCUAAUACCGGAUGAUGUCGCGAGACCAAAGAUUUAUCGCCUGAGGAUGAGCCCGCGUUGGAUUAGCUAGUUGGUGGGGUAAAGGCCUACCAAGGCGACGAUCCAUAGCUGGUCUGAGAGGAUGAUCAGCCACACUGGGACUGAGACACGGCCCAGACUCCUACGGGAGGCAGCAGUGGGGAAUAUUGGACAAUGGGCGCAAGCCUGAUCCAGCAAUGCCGCGUGAGUGAUGAAGGCCUUAGGGUUGUAAAGCUCUUUUACCCGGGAUGAUAAUGACAGUACCGGGAGAAUAAGCUCCGGCUAACUCCGUGCCAGCAGCCGCGGUAAU